This is a long non-coding RNA of Eubalaena glacialis (North Atlantic right whale), 454 nucleotides long. RefSeq lists it as uncharacterized. The transcript is spliced from 4 exons. NCBI's taxonomy places the organism in Eukaryota, Metazoa, Chordata, Mammalia, Artiodactyla, Balaenidae. The record is from RefSeq and is a predicted model, not a curated record.
UACCCGCGAUGGGGGCUGGGCCGCCCUGGGGUGUGGGGAGACAAAGCGAUCCACAUCCAGGUCCCCUCUUUCCUGCUUUGGGGCUCGGUGCCCGGGCUGUCUCCUCCUCAUGCUGGUGGCCUUGCUCAUAUCAGGUGUCUGAAGGAGGCAGGUUCUGAGCAUCUGUGUCCUGAUGGCUGCUGGAGCUUCUACUCCGGGUUCAAGGGCAGGAGAGCCCAACACUUCACAUCUUUCUUUGGAUAUGCCGCCUGGCUCAAGGUGACAGCAGAUGGCUGGAGUUCUGGUGUGAUGUGGCUGGAUGAUGCAUGAUCUGAGGACCCCUGCACUGGUGAAUGUGGGUGGAACAUCAGAGAAGGGUGUGGACUCUGAGCCCCAGGAGCAUGAGCUGAUAGAGAAGAACCAAGUGUGUUGUCGAGUCUGCUAGACAGGUUCCUGGAGCAAGAGUGAGGAGAUC